GUGGGGAAUAUUGCGCAAUGGGGGCAACCCUGACGCAGCAAUACCGCGUGAGUGAAGAAGGUUUUCGGAUCGUAAAGCUCUGUUAUUGGGGAAGAAAAAAGACGGUACCCAAGAAGAAAGUCCCGGCUAACUACGUGCCAGCAGCCGCGGUAAUACGUAGGGGACAAGCGUUGUCCGGAUUUACUGGGCGUAAAGGGCACGCAGGCGGUUUUUUAAGUCAGAUGUGAAAGGUACCGGCUCAAACGGUGACAUGCAUUUGAAACUGAAAGACUUGAGUAUUGGAGAGGCAAGUGGAAUUCCUAGUGUAGCGGUGAAAUGCGUAGAUAUUAGGAGGAACACCGGUGGCGAAGGCGGCUUGCUGGACAAAUACUGACGCUGAGGUGCGAAAGCGUGGGGAGCAAACAGGAUUAGAUACCCGUGUAGUCC
This 426-nucleotide ribosomal RNA is filed under the name uncultured bacterium. Its description in RNAcentral is "partial 16S ribosomal RNA". It matches the Rfam family "Bacterial small subunit ribosomal RNA", at positions 354 to 796 of the family's 1533-position model. The record is from RNAcentral.